Molecule: ribosomal RNA, 507 nt
Filed under: uncultured Janibacter sp.
Lineage: Bacteria; Bacillati; Actinomycetota; Actinomycetes; Micrococcales; Intrasporangiaceae
Description: bacterial SSU rRNA
Rfam family: Bacterial small subunit ribosomal RNA
Source: RNAcentral
UGCGCCUUGCCAGCCCGCUCAGAAACUCAAAGGAAUUGACGGGGGCCCGCACAAGCGGCGGAGCAUGCGGAUUAAUUCGAUGCAACGCGAAGAACCUUACCAAGGCUUGACAUAUACCGGAAACUUCCAGAGAUGGUUGCCCCUUUUAGGUCGGUAUACAGGUGGUGCAUGGUUGUCGUCAGCUCGUGUCGUGAGAUGUUGGGUUAAGUCCCGCAACGAGCGCAACCCUCGUUCUAUGUUGCCAGCACGUAAUGGUGGGGACUCAUGGAAGACUGCCGGGGUCAACUCGGAGGAAGGUGGGGAUGACGUCAAAUCAUCAUGCCCCUUAUGUCUUGGGCUUCACGCAUGCUACAAUGGCCGGUACAAAGGGCUGCGAUACCGCAAGGUGGAGCGAAUCCCAAAAAACCGGUCUCAGUUCGGAUUGGGGUCUGCAACUCGACCCCAUGAAGUCGGAGUCGCUAGUAAUCGCAGAUCAGCAACGCUGCGGUGAAUACGUUCCCGGGCCUU